UACGUAGGGUCCGAGCGUUGUCCGGAAUUAUUGGGCGUAAAGAGCUCGUAGGCGGUCCGUUAAGUCGGAAGUGAAAUCUCAAGGCUCAACCUUGAAAUCGCUUUCGAUGCUGGCGGACUUGAGGCAGGUAGGGGAAGGUGGAAUUCCUGGUGUAGCGGUGAAAUGCGCAGAUAUCAGGAGGAACACCGAUGGCGAAGGCAGCUCGCUGGGACGGUACUGACGCUGAGGCGCGAAAGCGUGGGGAGCGAACAGG
This 253-nucleotide ribosomal RNA is filed under the name uncultured bacterium. RNAcentral describes it as "partial 16S ribosomal RNA". It matches the Rfam family "Bacterial small subunit ribosomal RNA", at positions 524 to 776 of the family's 1533-position model. The record is from RNAcentral.